Molecule: ribosomal RNA, 375 nt
Filed under: uncultured bacterium
Lineage: Bacteria
Description: bacterial SSU rRNA
Rfam family: Bacterial small subunit ribosomal RNA
Source: RNAcentral
AUACGUAGGGGGCAAGCGUUGUCCGGAAUUAUUGGGCGUAAAGCGCGCGCAGGCGGCCUGUUAAGCCUGGUGUGAAAGACUACGGCUCAACCGUGGGGUGGCAUCAGAAACUGGCGGGCUUGAGUGCAGGAGAGGAGAGUGGAAUUCCCGGUGUAGCGGUGGAAUGCGUAGAGAUCGGGAGGAACACCAGUGGCGAAGGCGACUCUCUGGCCUGUAACUGACGCUGAGGCGCGAAAGCGUGGGGAGCGAACAGGAUUAGAUACCCUGGUAGUCCACGCCGUAAACGAUGAGUGCUAGGUGUUGGGGGUUUCCGCCCUCUGUGCCGAAGGUAACCCAAUAAGCACUCCGCCUGGGGAGUACGGCCGCAAGGCUGAG